This 402-nucleotide ribosomal RNA is filed under the name uncultured prokaryote. RNAcentral describes it as "bacterial SSU rRNA". It matches the Rfam family "Bacterial small subunit ribosomal RNA", at positions 355 to 774 of the family's 1533-position model. The record is from RNAcentral.
UAGGGAAUAUUGCACAAUGGAGGAAACUCUGAUGCAGCAACGCCGCGUGGAGGAUGACGCAUUUCGGUGUGUAAACUCCUUUUAUAGGGGAAGAUAAUGACGGUACCCUAUGAAUAAGCACCGGCUAACUCCGUGCCAGCAGCCGCGGUAAUACGGAGGGUGCAAGCGUUACUCGGAAUCACUGGGCGUAAAGGAUGCGUAGGCUGGAAAUCAAGUCGAAAGUGAAAUCCAACGGCUUAACCGUUGAACUGCUUUCGAAACUGAUUACCUAGAAUAUGGGAGAGGUAGAUGGAAUUAGUGGUGUAGGGGUAAAAUCCGUAGAUAUCACUAGGAAUACCGAUUGCGAAGGCGAUCUACUGGAACAUUAUUGACGCUGAGGCAUGAAAGCGUGGGGAGCAAACA